GUGCUGCCAAAGCAUAUAUAACUAAGAUUGGAAGGAUACAGAGAAGUUGACCAUGGUCCCAAUUCAAGGAUGACACACAGAUCUGUGAAGUAUUAUCUAGCAUG
Small nuclear RNA from Sphaerodactylus townsendi, 104 nucleotides. NCBI's taxonomy places the organism in Eukaryota, Metazoa, Chordata, Lepidosauria, Squamata, Sphaerodactylidae. The record is from RefSeq and is a predicted model, not a curated record.